Molecule: ribosomal RNA, 163 nt
Filed under: uncultured bacterium
Lineage: Bacteria
Description: partial 16S rRNA
Rfam family: Bacterial small subunit ribosomal RNA
Source: RNAcentral
UAGGGAAUCUUCCACAAUGGGCGAAAGCCUGAUGGAGCAACGCCGCGUGUGUGAUGAAGGGUUUCGGCUCGUAAACACUGUUGUAAGAGAAGAAUGACAUUGAGAGUAACUGUUCAAUGUGUGACGGUAUCUUACCAGAAAGGAACGGCUAAAUACGUUCCAG